GUCGGAUAUGGGGAUAUGUACCCGCAAAGUGCCUUGGGUAAAGCGGUUGGGUGUCUUUGUGCAAUAGCUGGUGUACUCACUGUUGCUUUGCCUGUUCCUGUAAUCGUCUCAAAU
Molecule: non-coding RNA, 114 nt
Organism: Hymenolepis diminuta
Lineage: Eukaryota; Metazoa; Platyhelminthes; Cestoda; Cyclophyllidea; Hymenolepididae
Source: Rfam